This 403-nucleotide ribosomal RNA is filed under the name bacterium. Its description in RNAcentral is "partial 16S ribosomal RNA". It matches the Rfam family "Bacterial small subunit ribosomal RNA", at positions 355 to 776 of the family's 1533-position model. The record is from RNAcentral. RNAcentral also lists the same sequence under 2 other names.
UGGGGAAUAUUGCACAAUGGAGGGAACUCUGAUGCAGCGACGCCGCGUGAACGAAGAAGGCUUUCGAGUCGUAAAGUUCUUUUAUAUGGGAAGAUAAUGACGGUACCAUAAGAAAAAGCCCCGGCUAACUACGUGCCAGCAGCCGCGGUAAUACGUAGGGGGCUAGUGUUGUCCGGAAUCACUGGGCGUAAAGGGUUCGCAGGCGGAAAUGCAAGUCAGGUGUAAAAGGCAGUAGCUUAACUACUGUAAGCAUUUGAAACUGCAUAUCUUGAGAAGAGUAGAGGUAAGUGGAAUUUUUAGUGUAGCGGUGAAAUGCGUAGAUAUUAAAAAGAAUACCGGUGGCGAAGGCGACUUACUGGGCUCAUUCUGACGCUGAGGAACGAAAGCGUGGGUAGCAAACAGG